Molecule: long non-coding RNA, 439 nt
Organism: Paramacrobiotus metropolitanus
Lineage: Eukaryota; Metazoa; Tardigrada; Eutardigrada; Parachela; Macrobiotidae
Exons: 3
Source: RefSeq, a predicted model, not a curated record
CAACAGCCAGAACUACACCUUCAAUCAAGUCCGUGGUCUCCACCACCCAUUCAGCCGAUUUUUAAAGAUGAAGCAACUGGUGCGGAAAUCUGCCACCACGUGGGUGACCAGAUAUUCCGUUUAACACCAUUAUAUGGCCGCCUGGAAGACUUAAAAAGCGAGUCUUAUGCUUUGUUUGUUAUUGCAACUUAUUUUCCAAAGGUAUAUAUAUAUUGCAGGCAUUGAUCCAGUGCAAGGAUAUAUUGCCCGCUACGAAUACUACAAGCAGCGCCAUCUCUACAUUAUUCUGUCGCCACAUAACACUCUGCAGCAACCUACAGCUCUACCUGGUGAUCAACAACUUCCCGAUCCAUUACCCAUCACAGAUCAGUCGCUGUCGGUUUCAACAGCACCGCUUUCCGUUCCGUUCUCUGUUGUCACUACAUCUCCGACUGCUGAA